GUUGGAGGGAAUCAUACUCUGACAUUACUCUGGACCAAAAGGAUUUAUCAGACAUUUUGUGAGAGGCUUUAUAUUUAGGUUUUGCAAGUAUUUUCUCACUUAAUUGUCAAAAUAUCUGUGAGGUAGAGACUGUUAUUGAUGCCACGUUGUGUAUGAUGAAAUGUGAUGCCUAGGGAUAUGAAGGGAUUCCACCAACGUUACAUGGCCAGAAAGAGACACCAAGGACCUAGUUCUAUCUGACUUGAGUCUGUAGCCCAAAUCAUCCACCAAUGUGUUAUCACCAAGUCUUUUUUCAUAUUGACAGUCUUUCAACAACCAGGAUUCCUAAAACUUUUCUCCGUGUGUUUGUGUGUUCACUGGGGAUAUAACCCAGAGCUUCUCUACCAAAUUUAUCCUUUGAGAUCGGUUUUUACUAAGUUGCCCCAGCUGGCCUUGAACUUGUAAUCCUCCUGCCUCAGGCUCCUGAG
Molecule: long non-coding RNA, 467 nt
Filed under: Marmota monax (woodchuck)
Lineage: Eukaryota; Metazoa; Chordata; Mammalia; Rodentia; Sciuridae
Source: RNAcentral